CCUGGUGGCUCAGUUGGUAAAGUAUCUGCCUGCAAUGCAGGAGACCCAGAUUCUAUCCCUGGGUCAGGA
This 69-nucleotide transfer RNA is filed under the name Bos taurus (domestic cattle). It matches the Rfam family "tRNA". From Rfam's summary of the family: Transfer RNA (tRNA) molecules are approximately 80 nucleotides in length. Lineage: Eukaryota; Metazoa; Chordata; Mammalia; Artiodactyla; Bovidae. RNAcentral also lists the same sequence under 4 other names. The record is from Rfam by way of RNAcentral.